UGCGGUUUAAUUGGAUUCAACGCCGGAAAUCUUACCGGGACCGACAGCGAUAUGAAGGCCAGGCUGAAGACUUUGCCGGAUUAGCUGAGAGGUGGUGCAUGGCCGUCGUCAGUUCGUACUGUGAAGCAUCCUGUUAAGUCAGGCAACGAGCGAGACUCACGCCCACAGUUGCCAGCGUACUCUCCGGAGUGAUGGGUACACUGUGGGGACCGCCGCUGCUAAAGCGGAGGAAGGAAUGGGCAACGGUAGGUCAGUAUGCCCCGAAUAUCCCGGGCUACACGCGAGCUACAAUGGUUGGUACAAUGGGUAUCUACCCCGAGAGGGGAUGGCAAUCUCCUAAAACCAAUCUUAGUUCGGAUUGAGGGCUGCAACUCGCCCUCAUGAAGCUGGAAUCCGUAGUAAUCGCGUUUCAACAGAACGCGGUGAAUACGUCCCUGCUCCUUGCACACACCGCCCGUCAAACCACCCGAGUAGGGUCUGAAUGAGAGCGCUUACCAAUCGGAGGCGUUCGAAUUUGGGCUUUGCAAGGGGGGUUAAGUCGUAACAAGGUAACCAAGGGCGAAU
Molecule: ribosomal RNA, 564 nt
Filed under: uncultured archaeon
Lineage: Archaea
Description: bacterial SSU rRNA
Rfam family: Archaeal small subunit ribosomal RNA
Source: RNAcentral